Molecule: non-coding RNA, 33 nt
Organism: Megaselia scalaris
Lineage: Eukaryota; Metazoa; Arthropoda; Insecta; Diptera; Phoridae
Source: Rfam
AAACCGGUUCUUUUCAGAACCACCAAUUUUUUU